This 491-nucleotide ribosomal RNA is filed under the name Fontibacter flavus. RNAcentral describes it as "bacterial SSU rRNA". It matches the Rfam family "Bacterial small subunit ribosomal RNA", at positions 39 to 524 of the family's 1533-position model. Lineage: Bacteria; Pseudomonadati; Bacteroidota; Cytophagia; Cytophagales; Cyclobacteriaceae. The record is from RNAcentral.
AAGCCAAUCGGGCAGCUAUAAUGCAAGUCGUACGGUAGACGAUCUUUCGGGAUUGUUGAGAGUGGCGCACGGGUGCGUAACGCGUAUGCAACCUACCUUAUACUGAGGGAUAGCCCGGGGAAACCCGGAUUAAUACCUCAUGGUACGAAGGCAUGGCAUCAUGUUUUUGUUAAAGAUUUAUCGGUAUAAGAUGGGCAUGCGUAGGAUUAGCUAGUUGGUAGGGUAACGGCCUACCAAGGCGACGAUCCUUAGGGGUUCUGAGAGGAAGGUCCCCCACACUGGCACUGAGAUACGGGCCAGACUCCUACGGGAGGCAGCAGUAGGGAAUAUUGGGCAAUGGUCGGAAGACUGACCCAGCCAUGCCGCGUGCAGGAAGAAGGCGUUAUGCGUUGUAAACUGCUUUUAUCUGGGAAGAAAAAGCCCCUGCGGGGGAAAUUGCCGGUACCAGAUGAAUAAGCACCGGCUAACUCCGUGCCAGCAGCCGCGGUAAU